CGAGAAGACCCUGUGGAGCUUCAGACACCCGAGCAUAUCAUGUUAAACACCCUAAGAUAAAAGGUUAAACUUUGUGAACAAAUGCUGCCGUGUCUUCGGUUGGGGCGACCUAGG
RNAcentral lists this ribosomal RNA (114 nucleotides) under Arripis trutta (Australian salmon). RNAcentral's name for it is "partial 16S ribosomal RNA". Lineage: Eukaryota; Metazoa; Chordata; Actinopteri; Scombriformes; Arripidae. The record is from RNAcentral.